CCCCUUGCGAAAACGGAUUUCCGUUCUAUAAUGGAAAGUGCCGGAGCAAUCCGGCUAUGAUGCUAAACGCUUUAUGGAAUAGGCGUAGCGGACCCGGGGGCGGUACCCGGCGUCUCCACCAAACUUUGGGGACGAAACAGGAUCGACGCGCGUAGUAAAGGUAAAGUUUGUAUCCGGCAUUGUACCGCCGUUAUCGGGCUAUAACUUUAAAUGCGAAUGAUAAUCGCACUCAGGUUGCUCUCGCUGCGUAAUGCGGCCGGAAAACCGAACUUAAUCCCUGAGGCUUGAGCGCUUCGGGUGGGGCGGGGACUUGCCUAGCAACAGAAGUGUCCCGUU
RNAcentral lists this transfer-messenger RNA (336 nucleotides) under Alphaproteobacteria bacterium. It matches the Rfam family "Alphaproteobacteria transfer-messenger RNA". Rfam says of the family: Bacterial tmRNA, also known as 10Sa RNA or SsrA, is named for its dual tRNA and mRNA-like properties. The record is from RNAcentral. Lineage: Bacteria; Pseudomonadati; Pseudomonadota; Alphaproteobacteria.